CACGGGGGGAGCAAGCGUUGUUCGGAAUUACUGGGCGUAAAGGGCGUGUAGGCGGUCAGGUAAGUGGAAUGUGAAAUGCCCCGGCUCACCCGGGGACCUGCAUCCCAAACUGCCUGGCUUGAGUAUGGGAGAGGAUGGAGGAAUUCCUGGUGUAGCGGUGAAAUGCGUAGAUAUCAGGAGGAACACCGGUGGCGAAAGCGUCCAUCUGGCCCAAUACUGACGCUGAUGCGCGAAAGCUAGGGGAG
Molecule: ribosomal RNA, 245 nt
Filed under: uncultured bacterium
Lineage: Bacteria
Description: partial 16S ribosomal RNA
Rfam family: Bacterial small subunit ribosomal RNA
Source: RNAcentral